Molecule: ribosomal RNA, 274 nt
Filed under: uncultured bacterium
Lineage: Bacteria
Description: partial 16S ribosomal RNA
Rfam family: Bacterial small subunit ribosomal RNA
Source: RNAcentral
CCCGCCGGCGACCGGCGCACGGGUGAGUAACACGUAUGAAACCUGCCCGUAGCAGGGGGAUAAGCGGAAGAAAUUCCGUCUAAUACCGCGUAACAACCCAUGGAGGCAUCUCUGUGGGUUUAAAGGAAGCGAUUCCGGCUACGGAUGGUCAUGCGUCGCAUUAGGUUGUUGGCGGGGUAACGGCCCACCAAGGCGACGAUGCGUAGGGGUUCUGAGAGGAAGGUCCCCCACACUGGUACUGAGACACGGACCAGACUCCUACGGAAGGCAGCAG